RNAcentral lists this long non-coding RNA (1569 nucleotides) under Malus domestica (apple). Its description in RNAcentral is "long non-coding RNA (MDOM_LNC006411)". Lineage: Eukaryota; Viridiplantae; Streptophyta; Magnoliopsida; Rosales; Rosaceae. The record is from RNAcentral.
CUCCUCCUUUAUCCGGGCUUGGGACCGGCAAUGUAAAAUUACAUAGGCGGAGUUAGUGAAAAAUAUAGUAGUGAGGCAAAAAAAUAUUAUUAAAAUAGGGUUCCACCCUCAAGGAUAUUUUAUUAACGGAAAAUAUUACUUUAAUUUUCAAAUUUCACAGUGAGGCGAAGGUGAAAAUAAAUAGUUUGAAGGACGAGUUAUGUACGAAUUUGUAAAAACCGACAAAAAACCACGAUUUUUGUUAAAAAUGCAAAUUUUUUAUUUUCGAGAAAUAUUUUUCGUGAGCAUUAAGGAAAAUUUUAUAAGGCAUUUGGAAGUAGAUUUUCGAUUUAUUGAGCAACAAAUGUAUAUUUAGUAGACCAUUUUAGUCAAAAACUAAAUAAAUUAGUGAAAAAUAUAGUAGUGAGGCCCAAAACAUUGCCCUCAACAAUAUUAACAGAAAGUGAUACUUUAAUUUUCUAACUUCACGGUGAGGCGAAGGUGAAAAUAAAUAGUUAGACUGGCGAUUUAUAUACGAAUUUGUAAAUACCGACUAAAAAUUAUGAGUGUUAACCCAUAUUUUUUUUGUCACAAAUGCAAUUUUUUUUAUUUUCGCGAAAUAUUUUGUGCAAGCAUUAAGAAAAAUUUACAAGGCAUUUGGAAGCAGAUUUACUAUUUAUUGAGUAACAAAUGUAUAUUUAGUAGACUAUUUAAGUCGAAAACAAAAAAAAAUAAGGGAAAAAUAUAGUUAGUGAGGCCCAAAACAUUGUUAAAAUUGGGUUCCACCCACAAGAAUAUAACGCAAAGUAUUACUAUAAUUUUCAAACUUCACGGUGAGGCAAAGGUGAAAAUAAAUAGUUUGUACGACAAUUUAUGUACGAAUUUGUAAAAACUGACUAAAACCCAUCAGUGUUUACCCACGUUUUUUUUGUCAAAAAUGCACAUUUUUUAUUUUCAUGAAAUGUUUUUUGUGAGCAUUAAGGUAAAAUUUAUAAGGGAUUUGGGAGCGGAUUUACGAUUUAUUGAGCAACAAAUGUAUAUUUAGUUGAGUAUUUAAGUCGAAAACUUAAAAAAUAAGUGAAAAAUAUAGUUGUGAGGCCCAAAACAUUGUUAAAAUAAGGUUCCACCCUCAAGAAUAUUAACGGAAAGUAUUACUUUAAUUUUCAAACUUAACGGUGAGGCAAAUGUGAAAAUAAAUAGUUUGAACGACGAUUUAUGUACGAAUUUGUAAAAACUGACAAAAAACCGUGAAUGUAACACCCACGUUUUUUGUCAAAAAGGCAAAUUUUUUAUUUUCACGAAAUAUUUUCCAUGAGCAUUAAGGAAAAUUUAUAAGGAAUUUGGAAGUGGAUUUACUAUUUAUUGAGUAACAAAUGUAUAUUUAGUAGACUAUUUAUGUCGAAAACUAAAAAAAUAAGUGAAAAAUAUAGUAGUGAGGCCCAAAACAUUGUUAAAAUUGGGAUCCACCCUCAAGAGUAUAACAAAAAGUAUUACUAUAAUUUUUAAACUUCACAGUGAGGUGAAUGUGAAAAUAAAUAGUUUGAACAACGAUUUAUGUACGAAUUUGUAAAAACUGACUAAAAACCGAGA